UUUCUCUGAAAGCAUACAUCUAUAUAUAUACAUAUGUAUAUGUGUGUGACUGUCUUUAGCACUAAGACAAUAUUUAGUCGUUAAGCAGAGGACUGAGACCUUUCCAAACCUUAAUCUGGAAAAAGAGCCUGCUAGUUUGCCUCUCUGACCUCCAAAACAGACUAAGAUGUCAUUGCAAUGCAGAUGUCAACUCUGAUUACUAUUUUCAAAACCAAUUCUUUUGAAUGAGCUUGAAGUAUUUGAAGAUUGAUGGCUGUGACAGCUCAGAGGGCUAAAUAUGGUUUUGGUGAAUUACAGAAAUACAGGAGUGGAGUAGAGCAGAGCAGUAAUAUCAUAACCAGCAGAUUCUUCCAAGGAACACUAUUGUUAAGCUUUUCCCAAACUUUCAGAUAUAUACUGAACAUGGCUUGCUUACAUCUCCAGACCUCUGGUGUCAUUUCAUCAGGAUGGAUGUUUCUACUGGCGUGUUGCAGAAUGUCUACCAUAAACAUGAAUAAGUAAGACCAGGCCCAAGAAAGACAGUAGUAAAGGUGUGAGAUCCAGAUGAAUUUGGGUCAUAUAUGGCUGUUUAUUAGUAUGCUCACUGGAACAAAUGUGGUUCAGUGUUUCUCCCACACUCAGUAACCUACUUCUACACAGAAAAUGUUUCUUGAAAAGUACCUUGAUAGUUUUAUGAAGCGGGGUGUGGGUUUUUUCAAGAUCUGGAAGUAUUUGUGGUACAUCUUAAUUAUUCUUAAUUCGGAUUAUUGCUCAGACAAUUUAUCUCACUAGUAGUAGUGAUUUAGCACCCUCAUGGGUCACCUUCUCACAAAUGAUGGGUGAGAAGCACAGAAGAGGAAUGAACAUUUCCAUAUGUAAAUAGAAAGUGUGGGUGUCCAGACUUGCCAAUUUCCAAUGCUUUUGUAGACAUUAAAUAAAAUCAGUUCUAAUUUGACCCCUUAAUGAAAAAGAGAGAGGCUUCCUCCCAGCUGUCUUUCUCUGAAUACACGUAAGUUGGCAAACAUGCUCGUUUCAGUUGCAACACUGCAUCCAUUUCUCCCUGAAACAUCCAAAAGGCUGGGGUUAGAAACAACCCAGAAGGACUCCAAAAUCGCCCCCCAAAAUAAACUGCAGAAAAAAA
Athene cunicularia (burrowing owl) is the source of this 1120-nucleotide long non-coding RNA. RefSeq lists it as uncharacterized. The transcript is spliced from 2 exons. The record is from RefSeq and is a predicted model, not a curated record. Lineage: Eukaryota; Metazoa; Chordata; Aves; Strigiformes; Strigidae.